RNAcentral lists this ribosomal RNA (1499 nucleotides) under metagenome. Its description in RNAcentral is "bacterial SSU rRNA". It matches the Rfam family "Bacterial small subunit ribosomal RNA". The record is from RNAcentral.
GAGUUUGAUCAUGGCUCAGAUUGAACGCUGGCGGCAGGCCUAACACAUGCAAGUCGAACGGUAACAGGAAGCAGCUUGCUGCUUCGCUGACGAGUGGCGGACGGGUGAGUAAUGUCUGGGAAGCUGCCUGAUGGAGGGGGAUAACUACUGGAAACGGUAGCUAAUACCGCAUAAUGUCGCAAGACCAAAGAGGGGGACCUUCGGGCCUCUUGCCAUCGGAUGUGCCCAGAUGGGAUUAGCUUGUUGGUGGGGUAACGGCUCACCAAGGCGACGAUCCCUAGCUGGUCUGAGAGGAUGACCAGCCACACUGGAACUGAGACACGGUCCAGACUCCUACGGGAGGCAGCAGUGGGGAAUAUUGCACAAUGGGCGCAAGCCUGAUGCAGCCAUGCCGCGUGUAUGAAGAAGGCCUUCGGGUUGUAAAGUACUUUCAGCGGGGAGGAAGGGAGUAAAGUUAAUACCUUUGCUCAUUGACGUUACCCGCAGAAGAAGCACCGGCUAACUCCGUGCCAGCAGCCGCGGUAAUACGGAGGGUGCAAGCGUUAAUCGGAAUUACUGGGCGUAAAGCGCACGCAGGCGGUUUGUUAAGUCAGAUGUGAAAUCCCCGGGCUCAACCUGGGAACUGCAUCUGAUACUGGCAAGCAUGAGUCUCGUAGAGGGGGGUAGAAUUCCAGGUGUAGCAGUGAAAUGCGUAGAGAUCUGGAGGAAUACCGGUGGCGAAGGCGGCCCCCUGGACGAAGACUGACGCUCAGGUGCGAAAGCGUGGGGAGCAAACAGGAUUAGAUACCCUGGUAGUCCACGCCGUAAACGAUGUCGACUUGGAGGUUGUGCCCUUGAGGCGUGGCUUCCGGAGCUAACGCGUUAAGUCGACCGCCUGGGGAGUACGGCCGCAAGGUUAAAACUCAAAUGAAUUGACGGGGGCCCGCACAAGCGGUGGAGCAUGUGGUUUAAUUCGAUGCAACGCGAAGAACCUUACCUGGUCUUGACAUCCACGGAAGUUUUCAGAGAUGAGAAUGUGCCUUCGGGAACCGUGAGACAGGUGCUGCAUGGCUGUCGUCAGCUCGUGUUGUGAAAUGUUGGGUUAAGUCCCGCAACGAGCGCAACCCUUGUCCUUUGUUGCCAGCGGUCCGGCCGGGAACUCAAAGGAGACUGCCAGUGAUAAACUGGAGGAAGGUGGGGAUGACGUCAAGUCAUCAUGGCCCUUACGACCAGGGCUACACACGUGCUACAAUGGCGCAUACAAAGAGAAGCGACCUCGCGAGAGCAAGCGGACCUCAUAAAGUGCGUCGUAGUCCGGAUUGGAGUCUGCAACUCGACUCCAUGAAGUCGGAAUCGCUAGUAAUCGUGGAUCAGAAUGCCACGGUGAAUACGUUCCCGGGCCUUGUACACACCGCCCGUCACACCAUGGGAGUGGGUUGCAAAAGAAGUAGGUAGCUUAACCUUCGGGAGGGCGCUUACCACUUUGUGAUUCAUGACUGGGGUGAAGUCGUAACAAGGUA